GCGCCUGGCGGCCGAGUCAAGCCGCCGCCUCGACCCAGGGCCCGCGGGCCAGGAGAGCGCUCGGCGGCUUCAUGGCGGCUGAAGAGAUGCAUUGGCCUGUCCCUAUGAAGGCCAUUGGUGCCCAGAACCUGCUAACCAUGCCUGGGGGCGUGGCCAAGGCUGGCUACCUGCACAAGAAGGGCGGUACCCAGCUGCAGCUGCUGAAAUGGCCCCUGCGCUUUGUCAUCAUCCACAAACGCUGCGUCUACUACUUCAAGAGCAGCACCUCCGCCUCCCCGCAGGGCGCCUUCUCCCUGAGUGGUUAUAACCGGGUGAUGCGGGCGGCUGAGGAGACCACGUCCAACAACGUUUUCCCCUUCAAGAUCAUCCACAUCAGCAAGAAGCACCGCACGUGGUUCUUCUCGGCCUCCUCCGAGGAGGAGCGCAAGGUGACUGGGGGUCCAAGGACGAGUGCAAGGUGACUGGGGGUGUGGGCCUGCAGGCACCAGGCUGGACCUGCCUUGGGGGCUCGCUGGUCCUGGGGCGCUGGCCUCUCAGUCCCGGGCAAAGAGAAGGUGUGGCUGGGACACAGGCAGCUGGGUGGGUGCUGCCCCAGCUCCAUCCCCAUGCCCAGAG
RNAcentral lists this small RNA (615 nucleotides) under Pan troglodytes (chimpanzee). RNAcentral describes it as "retained intron". The record is from RNAcentral. Lineage: Eukaryota; Metazoa; Chordata; Mammalia; Primates; Hominidae.